GUCGCGAUGCCAGAGUGGUUGUGAGUGUACUCGGCUCUGGAAUACUUCAAAACUAACCCGUACAGAAUGGGUAAGACUUGAAUUAAUUUUCGGUAUCUUAUGGCUUGUAAUUUUCCCCACCCCGUUAUGCAUAAUUCAUGCUAAUGUCUCUCAGCGGCCUCGUAGGUUCAAAUCCUGCUCGCGACG
Molecule: non-coding RNA, 186 nt
Organism: Hyaloscypha bicolor E
Lineage: Eukaryota; Fungi; Ascomycota; Leotiomycetes; Helotiales; Hyaloscyphaceae
Source: the annotation of a RefSeq genome assembly